UCGAGAAUUUUUCACAAUGGGCGAAAGCCUGAUGGAGCGACGCCGCGUGGGGGAUGAAUGGCUUCGGCCCGUAAACCCCUGUCAUUCGCGAGCAAAGCCUUCCCGAUAACACCGGGACGGUUGAUCGUAGCGAAAGAGGAAGGGACGGCUAACUCUGUGCCAGCAGCCGCGGUAAUACAGAGGUCCCAAGCGUUGUUCGGAUUCACUGGGCGUAAAGGGUGCGUAGGUGGUGAGGUAAGUUCGAUGUGAAAUCUCCGGGCUCAACCCGGAAAAGGCAUUGAAUACUAUCUUGCUCGAGGUUUGGAGGGGGGAUUGGAAUUCUCGGUGUAGCAGUGAAAUGCGUAGAUAUCGAGAGGAACACCGGUGGCGAAGGCGAGUCCCUGGACAACACCUGACACUGAGGCACGAAAGCUAGGGGAGCAAACAGG
Molecule: ribosomal RNA, 428 nt
Filed under: uncultured bacterium
Lineage: Bacteria
Description: bacterial SSU rRNA
Rfam family: Bacterial small subunit ribosomal RNA
Source: RNAcentral